GGAUCUCUUAAAGCUGUUCUCAGUUCGGACUGCAGUCUGCAACUCGACUGCACGAAGCUGGAAUCGCUAGUAAUCGCGGAUCAGCACGCCGCGGUGAAUACGUUCCCGGGCCUUGUACACACCGCCCGUCACACCAUGGAAGUCUGCAAUGCCCGAAGCCGGCGGCCUAACCACUUAUGUGGAAGGAGCCGUCUAAGGCAGGGCAGAUGACUGGGGUGAAGUCGUAACAAGGUACC
RNAcentral lists this ribosomal RNA (236 nucleotides) under uncultured bacterium. Its description in RNAcentral is "partial 16S ribosomal RNA". It matches the Rfam family "Bacterial small subunit ribosomal RNA", at positions 1269 to 1500 of the family's 1533-position model. The record is from RNAcentral.